GAAAGAGAUCGGUCCCCAAAGUCCAUCAAGGACCAAGGUUGAGAGCUGCAAGUUUUCUCUAUCCCAACUACUCUCUUCCAUGCGUUGGCUACUUCCCAUGAGCAAACCAAAUGGAUCUAAAAGGGUUGGUUCAUAUUUUGCUUAUGGGAGGAUUUGAAUAGUUGGAGCUAUUUGAAUAUAUAUAUAUUUUUUUUUGCAGCUGCUAUUCGUAGCAUUUCAAUGCACCAUGUUAACCCUUUAAAGGUAUCCUAAUUCUUUAAUAGAAUGCUUGGCUUCCAUUGGGAAUAAAAUUGUUCAAUCUGUUUUUAGUUUACGAAUUUUUUUUUAAAUUUAAUAUUUUCAUUUCUAAGUUACUGAAAAUGAUAAAUGAUAAAACAUAUAUACUCAUUUCUUAUUAUAGAACAUUUGUUUUGUCAUAUGGUUGCUUGGUCUAAUUAUUAGUUCCCUAUUAUUUGUCAUAUGUCAUUUUAGCUACCAUUUAGUAGGUUUGUUUAUGUAGUGUUGAAUGAAUUUUUUUUUUUCUUCAGUUUCUUUAUGGAUAACUGAAAAGGAGUGCAGUUGGGCAUAAUUGUUUGUGUUUCUUUAUGGUUUUGAUUUCAUUUAUAUGAAUAUGAAAUGUGUUGAGAUAUAUGUUAUUAGAAUCAUACGAUUUGCGAUUCGAUUCAGUGGGUAAUCAAUAUGAACAGGUUGUAUGAGUCGCAAAUAGCCAUGAAUCUAGGUGAAUCGUGAAGUGAAUUGAUUCGAUUUGCUAAAAUCAAUGUUUGACUUUUUUUUUUAGUUUUUUAUUGUUGGAAAAGGGUUCAGACAACCUUUUUAAGGUCUUUAGGAUUACUAUAUGCCAUCUUUUGACUUUCUCCCUCCCUCUUUUGUUAGUUGUUCAUAUCUCUUUAUUCCCCUUAACAUUACAUCCACAAGUUAGUAGAGUUUUGUUAGUUUUAUUUAUAGAUUUAUUUAUUUUUGCUACUGUUGUUGAAAUAUAUAUAUAAAAUUAAGAUGAAUCUUCCUUUCGAAUUCUGCAAACCCUUCUGCUCCUUCAUCUAUGUUGGACACACCCACCUUUUAUUGUAGUAGUUUUUUUUUUCUUUUUUUGUUUGUUUGUUUGUUUUUUGUUGUUGUUGUUGUUGUUAUCCAAGGAAUUAGGUUUAAGUAUGAAAGAUCUUUUCUCCUAAAAAAUCAAUGCACAAUUUUUUGUUGAGUUGGAGUGUUGUAGAGAAAUUAUCAAUUCAUGUAAGGCUGAUGUUUUUAUUCUUAAUGCUUUGUACAUGUGACGGAGGCAUUGAAAUUUGGUGAGGAGAAUAGUUCUGAAGGCUCCAUCAAUAGA
This is a non-coding RNA of Camellia sinensis, 1321 nucleotides long. Lineage: Eukaryota; Viridiplantae; Streptophyta; Magnoliopsida; Ericales; Theaceae. The record is from RefSeq and is a predicted model, not a curated record.